Molecule: ribosomal RNA, 253 nt
Filed under: uncultured bacterium
Lineage: Bacteria
Description: partial 16S ribosomal RNA
Rfam family: Bacterial small subunit ribosomal RNA
Source: RNAcentral
UACGUAGGGUGCAAGCGUUACUCGGAAUUACUGGGCGUAAAGCGUGCGCAGGCGGUUUUGUAAGUCUGUCGUGAAAUCCCCGGGCUUAACCUGGGAAUUGCGAUGGAGACUGCAAGGCUGGAGUCUGGCAGAGGGGGGUAGAAUUCCACGUGUAGCAGUGAAAUGCGUAGAGAUGUGGAGGAACACCGAUGGCGAAGGCAGCCCCCUGGGUCAAGACUGACGCUCAUGCACGAAAGCGUGGGGAGCAAACAGG